Molecule: transfer RNA, 71 nt
Filed under: Loxodonta africana (African savanna elephant)
Lineage: Eukaryota; Metazoa; Chordata; Mammalia; Proboscidea; Elephantidae
Rfam family: tRNA
About the family: Transfer RNA (tRNA) molecules are approximately 80 nucleotides in length.
Source: Rfam by way of RNAcentral
GCGUUGGUGGUUCAGUGGCAGAAUUCUCACCUUCCGUGCGGGAGACGUGGAUUUGAUUCCCAGCCAAUGCA